GACAGGUAUGGUGGUGCACACCUGUAAUCCCAGCUACUUGGGAGUCUGAGGCAGGAGGAUCGUAGGUUUGAGAUCAGCCUGGGCACUUAGUGAGACCCUGUCUUGA
RNAcentral lists this small RNA (106 nucleotides) under Marmota monax (woodchuck). Lineage: Eukaryota; Metazoa; Chordata; Mammalia; Rodentia; Sciuridae. The record is from RNAcentral.